ACGGGAGGCAGCAGUGGGGAAUAUUGCACAAUGGGGGAAACCCUGAUGCAGCGACGCCGCGUGAGCGAAGAAGUAUUUCGGUAUGUAAAGCUCUAUCAGCAGGGAAGAAAAUGACGGUACCUGACUAAGAAGCUCCGGCUAAAUACGUGCCAGCAGCCGCGGUAAUACGUAUGGAGCAAGCGUUAUCCGGAUUUACUGGGUGUAAAGGGAGUGUAGAUGGCAUGGCAAGUCAGAUGUGAAAGCUCGGGGCUCAACCCCGGAACUGCAUUUGAAACUGUCAAGCUGGAGUGCAGGAGAGGAAAGUGGAAUUCCUAGUGUAGCGGUGAAAUGCGUAGAUAUUAGGAAGAACACCAGUGGCGAAGGCGGCUUUCUGGACUGUAACUGACAUUGAGGCUCGAAAGCGUGGGGAGCAAACAGGAUUAGAUACCCUGGUA
Molecule: ribosomal RNA, 434 nt
Filed under: uncultured Clostridium sp.
Lineage: Bacteria; Bacillati; Bacillota; Clostridia; Eubacteriales; Clostridiaceae
Description: partial 16S ribosomal RNA
Rfam family: Bacterial small subunit ribosomal RNA
Source: RNAcentral